GGACCAAGGAGUCUAGCAUGUGCGCGAGUCAUUGGGACUCGGUUAAACCUAAAGGCGCAAUGAAAGUAAAGGUCCGCCUCGCGCGGACCGAGGGAGGAUGGGUCGGCGCCAGCCGCCGGCCCCGCACUCCCGGGGCGUCUCGUUCUCAUCGCGAGAAGAGGCGCACCCAGAGCGUACACGCUGGGACCCGAAAGAUGGUGAACUAUGCCUGGUCAGGACGAAGUCAGGGGAAACCCUGAUGGAGGUCCGUAGCGAUUCUGACGUGCAAAUCGAUCGUCGGAACUGGGUAUAGGGGCGAAAGACUAAUCGAACCUUCUAGUAGCUGGUUCCCUCCGAAGUUUCCCUCAGGAUAGCUGGCGCUCGCCUUGCGAGUCUCAUUCGGUAAAGCGAAUGAUUAGAGGCAUUGGGGUCGAAACGGCCUCAACCUAUUCUCAAACUUUAAAUGGGUGAGAUCUCCGGCUUGCUUGAAGCAUGAAGCCGCGAGAGAUCGGAUCACAGAGUGCCAAGUGGGCCACUUUUGGUAAGCAGAACUGGCGCUGUGGGAUGAACCAAACGCAGAGUUAAAGCGCCAAAAUCGACGCUUAUGGGAUACCAUGAAAGGCGUUGGUAACUUAAGACAGCAGGACGGUGGCCAUGGAAGUCGGA
Molecule: ribosomal RNA, 645 nt
Filed under: Bdelyropsis bowditchi
Lineage: Eukaryota; Metazoa; Arthropoda; Insecta; Coleoptera; Scarabaeidae
Description: eukaryotic LSU rRNA
Rfam family: Eukaryotic large subunit ribosomal RNA
Source: RNAcentral